Molecule: transfer RNA, 71 nt
Filed under: Paxillus involutus
Lineage: Eukaryota; Fungi; Basidiomycota; Agaricomycetes; Boletales; Paxillaceae
Also listed under: 2 other names
Description: tRNA-Glu
Rfam family: tRNA
About the family: Transfer RNA (tRNA) molecules are approximately 80 nucleotides in length. Their secondary structure includes four short double-helical elements and three loops (D, anti-codon, and T loops).
Source: RNAcentral
GGUCUUUUAGUGUAAUGGUAGCCCAUUAUCCCUUCACGAUAGUAGUAUCAGUUCGAAUCUGAUAAAGACUA